GAAGAAGAAGAAGAAGAAGAAAGCUAACAGAAAGCAGAGACUUGUACUGAAACAGGAUCUUCCUCACCUUUACCCUACAACAGAAAUAGAAAUUCUUAUACACUAAUAUCUUUGGUAAAACCAUGGCUAAUAGGCAAGAAAAAAAUUUUAAAGUGCAACAGAAUCUUCAACAUUGUUUACUGACAACUGCUGAGCUGACAUAGUGGCUAACGUUUUGUGGUCCAAAGGGGCUAACAUUUUAUGGUCCAAAGGAGCAAGGUUUUAGUUGCUGGAAUCAUGUUUUUUAGUGCACUAAAAUCAAGAUGCAUGGGUUAGUUUUUAUUGCAGAUAUAUGUACACGAGUGAAGAAAAUCAUAAUGCAAAAUUUUCAUCUUUGAUCAUAAUCUAUUUUUCAUUCACAAGCUUUAUUUUGUCCCUUUGGUUUCAAUGUUCUCCAUGCAACCUGAAGACUAAAUGUUGUGAGAUUUGUUUGGCCAUUUACACAAGAUUUAAUUGUUUACGCUUGUGCUUCAUGUUAUUCAGCAUUAUGCACCUUUCCCUGGUUUGUUAUUGGAGUGUUAACUAAACUACAAAUAUUUAAAUUUUCCUCUUUGUACAGGCUAGGCGGAUGAUGGUCAAG
Molecule: unclassified non-coding RNA, 619 nt
Filed under: Hevea brasiliensis (rubber tree)
Lineage: Eukaryota; Viridiplantae; Streptophyta; Magnoliopsida; Malpighiales; Euphorbiaceae
Source: RNAcentral